Molecule: long non-coding RNA, 1055 nt
Filed under: Zostera marina
Lineage: Eukaryota; Viridiplantae; Streptophyta; Magnoliopsida; Alismatales; Zosteraceae
Description: long non-coding RNA (ZMAR_LNC004859)
Source: RNAcentral
UGAUUUUAAAAUGUUUUAUUUAUUAACAAUGAAUAAAAAUCAAGAUCAAAUAUUCAACAUCAACGGAAUAUAAAAAAGAAAUUAAUGAAGAAACAUUGAAAUCUUUUAGGUAAGAUACAUUUCCAAAUAUAUGGCUCUUGUCCUUUGUCUGCAAAUAAUGAACAACCCUUUCUGGUUGGCUAAAUGAAUCUCUCGACUAAUUCAUACAGCCUUAAAGAAUCACAUAGAGACGCCCAUCCAGUGAUUCUUUUCUUUACAUGGAUGAUGCGUCAAAUGCUUUCAAAGAAUAAACAUACCAAAGCUUUUUAAUGUCUCAACCUUAUUGCCAUUGCAAGGAAUUCACAUCUUGUGAAGAAGAUACAACUGAUCAUCAUAUAAAUGCAAGAAACUUUAACCGGGACACAAAUUUGCAGAAUUGAAACUCCAAUGAACAUAGAAAUACAUCAAAGUCAUUCAUCACCGUACUGUAAUAAAUUCAUAACUUUAGCAGGGGGCACAAAGUUGUAGAAUUGAAGCUCCAAUGAACAUAGGAAUGCAUCAAAGUCAUUCAUCACCGUACUGUAAUGAAUUUGUAACCUGCACAGAAGAUGCACCUGAUGAUUAUCAUUAUAUGAAUACAAGAAACUUCAGGGGAGAGAGACAAAUUUGUGGAAUUGAAGCUCCAAUGAACAUAGGAAUGCAUCAAAAUCACCCAUCACCAGAUGAAAUCCUGUCUGAAAAUAGUCCUCCCGGCACCUCAAGUGCACAAGACCACGCUCCAAUGAACAUAGGAAUGCAUCAAAGUCAUUCAUCACCGUACUGUAAUGAAUUUGUAACCUGCACAGAAGAUGCACCUGAUGAUUAUCAUUAUAUGAAUACAAGAAACUUCAGGGGAGAGAGACAAAUUUGUGGAAUUGAAGCUCCAAUGAACAUAGGAAUGCAUCAAAAUCACCCAUCACCAGAUGAAAUUAAAGCUUCCCCUCAUUGAAGAGUAUCAAAUUUGCCCCCCAAUCCCAUCACUAAAUACUCAGAUCUUCUUCUUCUUCUUUUCCACGACCUCACUCCUUCAAUGGUAU